Molecule: ribosomal RNA, 298 nt
Filed under: uncultured bacterium
Lineage: Bacteria
Description: partial 16S ribosomal RNA
Rfam family: Bacterial small subunit ribosomal RNA
Source: RNAcentral
UUAGGGGGCUCAGCGUUGUUCGGAAUUACUGGGCGUAAAGGGUGCGUAGGCGGUUCUUUAAGUCUGGUGUGAAAUCUCCCGGCUCAACUCGGAAGGUGCCCUUGAGACUGUAGGGCUUGAGUGUGGGAGAGGUGAGUGGAAUUCCCGGUGUAGCGGUGAAAUGCGUAUAUAUCCGGAGGAACACCUGUGGCGAAAGCGGCUCACUGGACCAUUACUGACGCUGAGGCACGAAAGCGUGGGGAGCAAACAGGAUUAGAUACCCUGGUAGUCCACGCCCUAAACGAUGAAUGCUUGGUGU